This 444-nucleotide ribosomal RNA is filed under the name uncultured Spirochaetota bacterium. RNAcentral describes it as "bacterial SSU rRNA". It matches the Rfam family "Bacterial small subunit ribosomal RNA", at positions 917 to 1359 of the family's 1533-position model. The record is from RNAcentral. Lineage: Bacteria; Pseudomonadati; Spirochaetota.
GGGCCCGCACAAGCGGUGGAGUAUGUGGUUUAAUUCGAUGAUACGCGAGAAACCUUACCUGGUCUUGACAUGUUAGAAAUGAUCGAGAGAUUGGUUAGUGCCUGCUUGCAGGAAUCUAAACACAGGUGGUGCAUGGUUGUCGUCAGCUCGUGUCGUGAGAUGUUGGGUUAAGUCCCGCAACGAGCGCAACCCUUGUUUCUAGUUGCCAGCACGUCAUGGUGGAACUCUAGAGAGACUGCCGGUGAUAAACCGGAGGAAGGUGGGGAUGACGUCAAAUCAUCACGCCCCUUACGACCAGGGCCACACACGUACUACAAUGCCCGGUACAGCGAGUUGCGAAGCAGCGAUGCGGAGCUAAUCUCAAAACCGGGCCAAGUUCAGAUUGGAGGCUGCAAUUCGCCUCCAUGAAGCUGGAGUUGCUAGUAAUCGCGGAUCAGCACGCCG